RNAcentral lists this ribosomal RNA (406 nucleotides) under uncultured bacterium. RNAcentral describes it as "partial 16S ribosomal RNA". It matches the Rfam family "Bacterial small subunit ribosomal RNA", at positions 30 to 526 of the family's 1533-position model. The record is from RNAcentral.
AUUGAACGCUGGCGGCAGGCCUAACACAUGCAAGUCGAGCGAGUGGCGGACGGGUGAGUAAUGUCUGGGGAACUGCCUGAUAGAGGGGGAUAACUACUGGAAACGGUGGCUAAUACCGCAUACCAUCGGAUGUGCCCAUAUGGGAUUAGCUAGUAGGUGGGGUAAAGGCUCACCUAGGCGACGAUCCCUAGCUGGUAUGAGAGGAUGACCAGCCAAACUGGGACUGAGACACGGUCCAGACUCCUACGGGAGGCAGCAGUGGGGAAUAUUGCACAAUGGGCGCAAGCCUGAUGCAGCCAUGCCGCGUGUAUGAAGAAGGCCUUAGGGUUGUAAAGUACUUUCAGCGGGGAGGCGUUACCCGCAGAAGAAGCACCGGCUAACUCCGUGCCAGCAGCCGCGGUAAUAC